CCUACGGGAGGCAGCAGUGGGGAAUAUUGGACAAUGGGCGAAAGCCUGAUCCAGCCAUGCCGCGUGUGUGAAGAAGGCCUUCGGGUUGUAAAGCACUUUCAGUGGGGAAGAAAGCCUUGGGGCUAAUACCCUCGAGGAAGGACAUCACCCACAGAAGAAGCACCGGCUAACUCCGUGCCAGCAGCCGCGGUAAUACGGAGGGUGCGAGCGUUAAUCGGAAUUACUGGGCGUAAAGCGCGCGUAGGCGGUCUGAUAAGCCGGUUGUGAAAGCCCCGGGCUCAACCUGGGGACGGCAUCCGGAACUGUCAGGCUAGAGUGCAGGAGAGGAAGGUAGAAUUCCCGGUGUAGCGGUGAAAUGCGUAGAGAUCGGGAGGAAUACCAGUGGCGAAGGCGGCCUUCUGGACUGACACUGACGCUGAGGUGCGAAAGCGUGGGUAGCAAACAGGAUUAGAUACCCUGGUAGUC
This 465-nucleotide ribosomal RNA is filed under the name Vreelandella stevensii. RNAcentral describes it as "partial 16S ribosomal RNA". It matches the Rfam family "Bacterial small subunit ribosomal RNA", at positions 338 to 795 of the family's 1533-position model. The record is from RNAcentral. Lineage: Bacteria; Pseudomonadati; Pseudomonadota; Gammaproteobacteria; Oceanospirillales; Halomonadaceae.